GAGCGCUCGCUGGCUGGCUGGCUAACGGAAAGGCUGGCUGGACUCGGGGAUCCAGCCACACUGCUGGCGGGCAGCAUGCUGUCCACCCUGCGGGUGCCUUUCUCAGACUAGGGCCCGCAUGAAUUCCGCCUCCCGGGAGAAGCUGACGUCGGCAUGCCUUCCAGGGGCAGCGGCUGCCCUCCAGGGUCUGGAACUUGGGGGUCAUGCUGCCUCCAACUCCUGACUCUGUGGCCCCAAGAGGAAGAGGAAGCUGGGUGGGAUCUUAGGGGCCAUGUGGACUAGGCAGCCCACUGGGGAGUGGGCACGUGAAAAGUACUUUGGGACACGGAGUUCCAAUCAAACAGAAGACUGGAACCUCAGCACCUCCAAAGCUCACGGACCCGCUGGUGAGGGCUGCCCGGACUGCUGAUUCCACUCAGCCACUCACCACCCGCCCUGUCUGCCAGGUGCCAUGUGCAAGGAUGCUGCAUUUUCUGCUAAUGGGGGUGGGGGAUGGCAGGAGACAUAAUGGGGUGGGGAGGGGUCAUUGCUAUUGUCGUCAUCACUCUUUGUCACCCCAAUGGCAUUCUAUACCUUCUUUUGCAUCUGAUCUCAAGGCAUCAAGAAUAUGAAAAACAGCUCUUCUGUCCCCAAAAGGGAGAUCUUACCUUAAGCAAUGGGAUUACCAUUAAGUACAAGACAUUUGACAUUAAACCAUUAAGCACAAGA
RNAcentral lists this long non-coding RNA (708 nucleotides) under Homo sapiens (human). RNAcentral describes it as "non-protein coding lnc-TFCP2L1-4:1". The record is from RNAcentral. Lineage: Eukaryota; Metazoa; Chordata; Mammalia; Primates; Hominidae.